Long non-coding RNA from Eleginops maclovinus (Patagonian blennie), 584 nucleotides. RefSeq lists it as uncharacterized. NCBI's taxonomy places the organism in Eukaryota, Metazoa, Chordata, Actinopteri, Perciformes, Eleginopidae. The record is from RefSeq and is a predicted model, not a curated record. The transcript has 3 exons.
GAUCAGCUGAUUAACGGUUUAUUAGAGUGACGUAGCGCGAAUGGAAACGGGAUUAGUGCGGGAGAAGGGAGGGGAGAAGGAAGGAUAGAACGGGAUUUAACGGGAUUUGAGUAAAUAAAGGUAAAGUGGUCGAGCUAGCUUAGCUUAGCUUCACUGUUUAAACCGGGACAUUUUAACGGUUUAUUUUACCUGUUCAAGCCCCGUGGUUCCGCUAGUGUCCGUUAGAUCCCCCUAUCUCUCAUGAUAGGCGGUUUACCGGCUGGAAGAGGACCAAAGUGUUGUUUAUUUCCAGAGGAUCCGGAGCGCUGCUCAGACCGGCGUCAAGCUGGUGGCGUGUAAUCUCAUGAGAGAUAACAGAAGAAGAAUAGCCAGAAGUGACGUCAGCUGUCGACAGUUUAGAGUAAAAUCUUCAGGAAAGUUUCUUCAUGACUGCACGGGUGAGUUUAGCUGAGAGCGGGUGGCAGUGCUGUACUUCGCUAAGAGCGCGGAGCUGAGCGGACUGAAGGUGGAGGAGCUUGUUGCCGUGCCAACACCAAUCAGCAGCAAGGACCUCUGGAGCCUGUUGCUACACCGACACCCCAGGU